GGUGUGUGCAGGGGCAGAAUGUGCCAGAAUGCACCAGAAUGUGCUGGCUCUCACCUUGCCCAGCUGCCGCUGAGAAAAACAAAGCACAAAGAGGGACCUGAAGUAUCUCCUUCUCGGAAGCCUGAUAAGGGACUGGAGUGGUGGCCAGAGCCGUGGAAUCCAACAAGAGGAACAUUACGUGCCAUGUGGCAUGGGGGACCCCGAGGAGGCAAGGAGGCCUUCAGAAAGGAGUCUCCGGAGGCAGCCCAGCCGUGCAGACCCUGACGUUGGACAUACAGCCCAAGUUCUCCAUCUUUAUCCUGCAGAAAAAGUAACGUAUUUCCAGAGGGUUCCAUCAGAGGGGCGGUGAGAAGCUCGGACUCGCCUCCAGGAAGGGGUCCUGGGGUCCCUCCACGGAACAGUCCAGACGUGAACGUACGUCAUCAAAGGGAAAGGGUCUGGGUUCAGGCCCCGGGGCCCCGUGAGUUUGGCUGCAAAAUAAAUUGCCCAGACGAGAGAUUUUCA
Molecule: long non-coding RNA, 504 nt
Filed under: Felis catus (domestic cat)
Lineage: Eukaryota; Metazoa; Chordata; Mammalia; Carnivora; Felidae
Description: lncRNA (ENSFCAG00000043633.2)
Source: RNAcentral